This 418-nucleotide long non-coding RNA is filed under the name Panax ginseng (ginseng). RNAcentral's name for it is "long non-coding RNA (PGIN_LNC004058)". The record is from RNAcentral. Lineage: Eukaryota; Viridiplantae; Streptophyta; Magnoliopsida; Apiales; Araliaceae.
GAUGAUAAUGGCGGGAAAAUUGUUAGGGGAAGAAGAGAGAUGAAAUCGCGCAAUAGAUCGUUGCGCAGGAUCAGAUCUAUGUCGCCGUUGAGGACCACAUCCGAAUCCUUUCCAAAAAACGAGGAGAAAAUUGAUGACACGAUGGCGCCUGAAGAGGAUGCGCCGCCGUCUGGUUCAUCCUCGCGGUCGUCUUCGGUGGGGCGGAACUCGAAGAGGUGGGUCUCAUUGAAGGAGUUUCUGUACAGAAGCAAAAGUGAGGGACGGAACAAUGGGCGCCACAAGUACUUCUGGUCAUCUCUUUCAUUUUCCCCUGUUGUUAAAGAAAAGGAUAAAAAGACGGCGGCGCCACCUCCUCCGGUGCCGGCGGUAUCAUCGGAGAAAGGGAAGGCGCCGGAGUCCGGGGAUGGGGAAAACGUGG